CCCUUAGAUGUUCUGGGCCGCACGCGCGCUACACUGACGAAUGCAACGAGCUUAUAACCUUGGCCGAAAGGUCUGGGUAAUCUCCAAAUUUCGUCGUGAUGGGGAUAGAUUAUUGCAAUUAUUAAUCUUCAACGAGGAAUGCCUAGUAAGCGCAAGUCAUCAGCUUGCGUUGACUACGUCCCUGCCCUUUGUACACACCGCCCGUCGCUACUACCGAUUGAAUGAUUUAGUGAGGACUUCGGACUGGGACCGAUGCGGCUUUCGGGCUGCGUCGGUAUUCUGGAAAGAUGUCCAAACUGUAUCAUUUAGAGGAAGUAAAAGUCGUAACA
Molecule: ribosomal RNA, 329 nt
Filed under: uncultured eukaryote
Lineage: Eukaryota
Description: partial 18S ribosomal RNA
Rfam family: Eukaryotic small subunit ribosomal RNA
Source: RNAcentral